AGCUCCGCUAGUGUAUACCACGAGUACUGCGGUUAAAAAGCUCGUAGUUGGAUCUUCGGUAAUGGAUGCGGGUCCACUCUUUGAGUGCGCACUCGUGUCCGUGCCUCAUUUGUCAGUGCAUCCCAGUGUGUCCUUUACCAGAUGUGCUGGGAAGUCUGACGCUUUUACCUUGAGAAAAUUGGAGUGCUCAGAACAGGCGCAUGCCUGAACAUUUUUGCAUGGAAUAAUGGAAUAGGAUCUUGGUCCUAUUUUGUUGGUUUUAGGGAUUGAGAUAAUGAUUAAGAGGGACAGACGGGGGCAUUCGUAUUGCAACGCUAGAGGUGAAAUUCUUGGACCGUUGCAAGACGAACAACUGCGAAAGCAUUUGCCAAGAAUGUUUUCA
Molecule: ribosomal RNA, 382 nt
Filed under: uncultured eukaryote
Lineage: Eukaryota
Description: SSU rRNA
Rfam family: Eukaryotic small subunit ribosomal RNA
Source: RNAcentral